Molecule: long non-coding RNA, 484 nt
Filed under: Apteryx rowi (Okarito brown kiwi)
Lineage: Eukaryota; Metazoa; Chordata; Aves; Apterygiformes; Apterygidae
Description: lncRNA (ENSARWG00000015737.1)
Source: RNAcentral
UCCAUUAGCAGGACUAAAAGCAGUGCUGUGUCAAGAUAGUAUAACAACCAGGGAAUUGCAAAUGCCAAGCACAGACCCACUUCUCCAGCACAAGACAGUGACAUGAUCCAAAUGGAAGCACAAGGCUCAUAUGGUUACAUUCAAUGAUSAAUUCUCCACGGAUGGAUUGUGACCCCCCAGAAAGGUUACAAAGGGAGACCUGACGUAGGUUUGUCUUGUUAAUACCCACACGGCUAUCCGGUGAAUGAGAGAGAUGGAUUUAAUGCCUUGGAGAUGUGACAAUUCCUGAAGGACUUUUGGGGCCUGUCCUGAUAUGGGGAUCUUUUAAGUACAGUUUAUGAAUUCUGGUUGAAGCUAUGAAGUUGCUGUUAUGAAAAAUUGUAGCAUCUUAGGUUGCCUCAGAUGGUGAAUCCAUCAUUUUCUCCCAAGGUCUGUCACAUGUACUCAUCAGAGUAAUGACUGUGGAGCGUUGCUUGGCUUAAUG